This 915-nucleotide ribosomal RNA is filed under the name uncultured archaeon. Its description in RNAcentral is "bacterial SSU rRNA". It matches the Rfam family "Archaeal small subunit ribosomal RNA", at positions 1 to 922 of the family's 1478-position model. The record is from RNAcentral.
UUCCGGUUGAUCCUGCCGGAGGCUACCGCUAUUGGAGUUCGAUUAAGCCAUGCGAGUCGCGAGUCUUAGGGACUCGGCGUACCGCUCAGUAACACGUGGGUAACCUGCCCUAUGCUGGGGGAUAACCUCGGGAAACUGAGAAUAAUACCCCAUAGUUCACCACGCCUGGAACGGUGGGUGGACCAAAGCUCCGGCGGCAUAGGAUGGGCCUGCGGCGUAUCAGGUUGUAGGGGGUGUAAUGUACCCUCUAGCCCUCUACGCGUACGGGUGUUGAGAGACAUCGCCCGGAGAUGGAUUCUGAGACACGAAUCCAGACCCUACGGGGUGCAGCAGGCGCGAAAACUUGGCAAUGCGAGAAAUCGUGACCAGGGAACUCCAAGUGCAUCGGGUAAGACCGAUGCUUUUCUUGACUCUUCAAAGGUCUUGGAAUAAGGGGUGGGUAAGGACGGUGCCAGCCGCCGCGGUAAUACCGGCGCCCCAAGUGGUAGUCGCUUUUAUUGGGCCUAAAACGUCCGUAGCCGGUCUGGUACAUUCGUGGGUAAAUCAACCAGCUCAACUGGUUGAAUUCUGCGAGCACGGCCAGACUUGGGACCGGGAGAGGUGUGGGGUACUCUCAGGGUAGGGGUAAAAUCCUGUCAUCCUGAGGGGACCACCUGUUGCGAAGGCGCCACACUAGAACGGAUCCGACGGUCAGGGACGAAGCCUAGGGGCACGAACCGGAUUAGAUACCCGGGUAGUCCUAGGUGUAAACGCUGUGGACUUGAUGUUGGGGGCGCUCCGAGCGCGCUCAGUGUCGAAGCGAAGGUGAUAAGUCCACUGCCUGGGGAGUACGGUCGCAAGGCUGAAACUUAAAGGAAUUGGCGGGGGAGCACCGCAACCUGAGGAUUGUGCGGUUUAAUUGGAUUCAACGCCGGA